This 31-nucleotide ribosomal RNA is filed under the name Trichoderma longibrachiatum. RNAcentral's name for it is "partial 18S ribosomal RNA". Lineage: Eukaryota; Fungi; Ascomycota; Sordariomycetes; Hypocreales; Hypocreaceae. RNAcentral also lists the same sequence under 3 other names. The record is from RNAcentral.
UUCCGUAGGGGAACCUGCGGAGGGAUCAUUA